AAGACCGGAGGAAGGUGGGGAUGACGUCAAGUCCUCAUGGCCCUUAUAGGUGGGGCUACACACGUCAUACAAUGGCUGGUACAAAGGGUUGCCAACCCGCGAGGGGGAGCCAAUCCCAUAAAGCCAGUCGUAGUCCGGAUCGUAGUCUGCAACUCGACUACGUGAAGUCGGAAUCGCUAGUAAUCGUGGAUCAGAAUGUCACGGUGAAUACGUUCCCGGGUCUU
This 224-nucleotide ribosomal RNA is filed under the name uncultured Rhodoferax sp. Its description in RNAcentral is "partial 16S ribosomal RNA". It matches the Rfam family "Bacterial small subunit ribosomal RNA", at positions 1159 to 1382 of the family's 1533-position model. Lineage: Bacteria; Pseudomonadati; Pseudomonadota; Betaproteobacteria; Burkholderiales; Comamonadaceae. The record is from RNAcentral.